AGAGUGAACGCUGGCGGCAGGCCUCAAACAUGCAAGUCUAGGGGGCGUAGCAAUACGUCACCGGCGGACGGGUGCGUAACACGUGGGAAUGUACUUACUGGUUCGGAACAACUCAGGGAAACUUGAGCUAAUACCGAAUGUGCCCGAAAGGGGAAAGAUUUAUCGCCAGUAAAUCAGCCCGCGUCCGAUUAGCUAGUUGGCGGGGUAAAGGCCCACCAAGGCGACGAUCGGUAGCUGUUCUGAGAGGAAGAUCAGCCACACUGGGACUGAGACACGGCCCAGACUCCUACGGGAGGCAGCAGUUGGGAAUCUUGGACAAUGGGGGAAACCCUGAUCCAGCCAUGCCGCGUGAGUGAUGAAGGCCUUGGGUUGUAAAACUCUUUCGACGGGGACGAUAAUGACGGUACCCGUAGAAGAAGCUCCGGCUAACUUCGCGCCAGCAGCCGC
RNAcentral lists this ribosomal RNA (447 nucleotides) under uncultured bacterium. Its description in RNAcentral is "SSU rRNA". It matches the Rfam family "Bacterial small subunit ribosomal RNA", at positions 26 to 518 of the family's 1533-position model. The record is from RNAcentral.